UUGAACGCUGGCGGCAGGCCUAACCCAUGCAAGUCGAACGGUAACAGGAAGCAGCUUGCUGCUUUGCUGACGAGUGGCGGACGGGUGAGUAAUGUCUGGGAAACUGCCCGAUGGAGGGGGAUAACUACUGGAAACGGUAGCUAAUACCGCAUAACGUCGCAAGACCAAAGAGGGGGACCUUAGGGCCUCUUGCCAUCGGAUGUGCCCAGAUGGGAUUAGCUAGUAGGUGGGGUAACGGCUCACCUAGGCGACGAUCCCUAGCUGGUCUGAGAGGAUAACCAGCCACACUGGAACUGAGACACGGUCCAGACUCCUACGGGAGGCAGCAGUGGGGAAUAUUGCACAAUGGGCGCAAGCCUGAUGCAGCCAUGCCGCGUGUAUGAAGAAGGCCUUCGGGUUGUAAAGUACUUUCAGCGGGGAGGAAGGGAGUAAAGUUAAUACCUUUGCUCAUUGACGUUACCCGCAGAAGAAGCACCGGCUAACUCCGUG
This 489-nucleotide ribosomal RNA is filed under the name uncultured bacterium. RNAcentral describes it as "partial 16S ribosomal RNA". It matches the Rfam family "Bacterial small subunit ribosomal RNA", at positions 30 to 507 of the family's 1533-position model. The record is from RNAcentral.